Geobacillus sp. WCH70 is the source of this 89-nucleotide non-coding RNA. The record is from Rfam. NCBI's taxonomy places the organism in Bacteria, Bacillati, Bacillota, Bacilli, Caryophanales, Anoxybacillaceae.
AUGAGAACAAGGGGAGAGACUACGUAAUGUAGCGCCGAAGGAGCAAGCGGAAACGCGAAUCUCUCAGGCAAAAAGACUCUUGUUUGACG